AUGAGGGAGACUGCACCACUGUCCUCUUUAGUCUUGCCCGCCCUUCCUGGUUAUAAAAGGAUAUUGGACGGCGCCAUAUUAGAAGAGGCAUGUUGGAAGAACGGGGGGGGGAUAUGUGCGCAUGCGCAAACAGGGAAAGUGCUCGAGCAGGAGAGGCGAGCCGGCGCUUGCGCAGACACGCCUCCGGUCGGUGAGGGAGGGAGGGAAGGGGACGGUUGCUGGUUGGUUGUUGUAGUAACAGAGCGAAGCGCCGGCAAGAGGAGCCACGGCUGCCGGGCCGUCAAGGGAGAUGAAGCCGCAGGAACAUCUAGGAGUGAGCAUAUUACACCCAUAUUAAAGUUACAUGGUUUGGGUCCAGGCUACCUACAGGAUCUCCUUCUUCUGCACAAUCUGUCCUUGAGAUCCUCUGGUGGGUGGCUACUCCAACAAGCCAAAACCCAACCAGUGACUGUCACCCGCAGAACUUCUUCAUCGGCUACCGCACAAUUGUGGAAUGACCUACCGGAAGAAAUUUGAUAGCUGAACGAAAUGUCAGAAUUUAAAAUGCAAUUGAAGACCUCUAUCUCUUCUGGUUGGCCUACCUAGCCAACUUUCAGUCAUGAGUUUUGAUUUGCAUUCUGUUACUACUAUAUGUCAGUUCUAUAGCUGUGUUUGGGGUGUGUGUAUGUGUGUGUGUGUGUGUGUGUGUGUGUGUGUGUAUAUAUGUAUAUGACAUUUAAUAAAAUAUUUUAAUGUGCAUUUGUUUUUGAAUUUGUUGUAUUCGCCUCAAGCCACCAGGAAAGGCGGGUAAUAAAUAAAUCCUCCUCCUCCUCCUCCUCCUCCUCCUCCUCUUCUUAGUAGUCUUGAGUAAAUAUGAAAAUAAUUGAAUUCCUACCAACCCAAUCAAAGACAGCUAUGGCCAGUGGAUUCUCACUUGCGCGCACAUGCACAGAUCAAGAAAGAGAGAUAGUACAGAUAUAAACAAAUAUAAUUAGACCAUUACAGUACUAACAACUUUUCCUGAACAAACCACACUAGCAUUUACUGAACAUACCUGCUAUUCUACCCCAUCAAUUGUCUCACCAUGUAUACAUAUCUUUGUGUUUGUGUAUUUAUAUAUAGUAGAUAUAGUAGAGUAUAUGUAAAAAUUGACUUCCCACCAUCCACAUCAAAGACAGCUAUGGCCGGUGGAGUCUUACAUGCGCGCAUGCGUGCACCCACAACACAUGUAUAUGUAUCUAUAAAUAUGAACACAAGGUGGCAGACCUAUUUUAAAUAAGAGAAUAAAUGAACCUAGAGCAGUGCUUUAUAGACUAUUUGAUAUGAAGGAUCUGCAAUCCCCUCCAAUGUACCUUGUACUAGUACGGUUGGCUCUCAGUAUCUAGGGAUUCAGUUUCCACAGUUUGAAAAUAUUUUUUUAAAGCCACAAAGUGAACCAUUUUACCAUUUUAUAUAAGGGGCACCAUUUUACUAUGCCAUUGUAUAUAAUGGGAUUUGAACAUGCAUGCAUUUUGAUAUCCCCAUGGGUCCAGGAACCAAACCCCUGCAGAUACCAAGAGCCCACUGUACCAUUUGUUUACCCACUAAGUGAUUUUUGUUCUGGUGAUACAAAAUAUAGAAGGAGCUAUGGGAAAAAUACGGAAGGCCUACAUAUGGUUGUCUGGAUGUCCUCUAAAGUUUUCUCUUGGAGGCAGUGUGGUUGCAGAUGAAAACAUUGCCUUACCUGGAAAACCCUGAAUUAAACUGAACACAUUAAGCAAUAUUUAGUUAGGGAAUCCAGGAUUAAUGCACUGUCAGAUUGAUUGAGCUAAACAACCACUUUAAAGCCUCUCUCAGCUCAGAAGGUUUAAUAAAUGUUACUGUAGGAAGUUUUGAUUCUUUUCAGAUAAGUGAUGUGUCAUAUAACCUGUGGGUUUGAUAUAGUGAAUUAAUUGAAGAUAUGUGUCAAACCGUAGAGUUGUUGUGUCAUGUUCCUUUGAUAAGGAUAUAUUUUGACUCCAGGGUUGUGGCUGGGCUUAUAUAAGGUUUUUUAUAUUUGGUGUUCAUGUAUAUAUGAUGCUGGUAGACCUCUGAUUUUGAAUUUGAGUCAGUGUAAAUGAGCCAAAUUGAAUGAAAAAUGUCUUCAAGGAGAUAUGGCUGGAAUGUGAAUGCUCUGUAUGUCAUACUACCACUGCUCCCUUGCAAAACCCCUCCCCAUACUUGUACUUCUUUGUAAUGUCUUUAUGUUUUGAGGCAUAGAUUGUGAUGGCUUUGUUUACAAAUAUAUAUAAGCUGCAUAUAUUUGCCCAUUUCCAGGCAGUGUUCAUGAAUAAUUAAAAUAUAGACUGUUAAACCAGUACAUAAUGGAUGAGUUUGUAUUAGAUGCUGGUAGAAUUUAAAGCUUUGCCAGCAUACCUAGGAUGGAGAUCUGGGAGAAGAAAGGGUAUGCUCUUUCCAUUUGGCUUCAUGAAAGCAUUCAGAUGGUACCUGGGUGCAUCACUAUGGUCAAUCUGUCAAAGGUCAGACGCCAGCCAGUAAGAUAAAUAUAGUUUAUUCAAAAAAUAACUAAAAAAAGCUCAGCACAAAGUCCAGAGAGCUCACAGCACUUUAACUUCAGUGUGAAUUAACAGUUCAGAGCAAGAAACCCCAAAAAAUGCAAACCGGAAUAUAAUCUGGAUUAUCCGGAGAUAUAAUCCGGAUUAAAACCAAAGUGUUCAGAAACAGCUCAAAAUUGCAAGGUGUCACGACCCAGGCGGCAGAGGCACCAAUAACCAUACACAGAG
RNAcentral lists this long non-coding RNA (2741 nucleotides) under Anolis carolinensis (green anole). RNAcentral's name for it is "lncRNA (ENSACAG00000036686.1)". Lineage: Eukaryota; Metazoa; Chordata; Lepidosauria; Squamata; Anolidae. The record is from RNAcentral.